GAUGAACGCUAGCGGCAGGCCUAAUACAUGCAAGUCGAACGGGAUCCAGAUCAAAGCUUGCUUUGGUUUGGUGAGAGUGGCGUACGGGUGCGUAACGCGUGAGCAACCUACCCUUGUCAGGGGGAUAGCCCGGCGAAAGUCGGAUUAAUACCGCAUGACAUCAUUGAGAGGCAUCUUUCGAUGAUCAAAGAUUUAUCGGACAAGGAUGGGCUCGCGUGACAUUAGCUAGUUGGUAAGGUAACGGCUUACCAAGGCUACGAUGUCUAGGGGCUCUGAGAGGAGAAUCCCCCACACGGGUACUGAGACACGGACCAGACUCCUACGGGAGGCAGCAGUAAGGAAGAUUGGUGAAUGGACGGAAGUCUGAACCAGCCAUGCCGCGUGCAGGAAGACGGCCCUAUGGGUUGUAAACUGCUUUUAUACGGGAACAAACGUCGGUACGUGUACCGGUCUGAGUGUACCGUAAGAAUAAGGAUCGGCUAACUCCGUG
RNAcentral lists this ribosomal RNA (490 nucleotides) under uncultured bacterium. RNAcentral's name for it is "partial 16S ribosomal RNA". It matches the Rfam family "Bacterial small subunit ribosomal RNA", at positions 28 to 507 of the family's 1533-position model. The record is from RNAcentral.